GGGCUCACUUCGGCAGCACAUAUACUAAAUGGGAAGGAGACAGAGGAGAUGGGCACGGCCCCUGUGCAAGGAUGACACGCAAAUUCAUGAAUCCUUCCAUAUUUUU
This is a non-coding RNA of Otolemur garnettii (small-eared galago), 106 nucleotides long. Lineage: Eukaryota; Metazoa; Chordata; Mammalia; Primates; Galagidae. The record is from Rfam.